This 2791-nucleotide ribosomal RNA is filed under the name Escherichia coli. Its description in RNAcentral is "bacterial LSU rRNA". It matches the Rfam family "Bacterial large subunit ribosomal RNA". The record is from RNAcentral. Lineage: Bacteria; Pseudomonadati; Pseudomonadota; Gammaproteobacteria; Enterobacterales; Enterobacteriaceae.
UUAAGCGACUAAGCGUACACGGUGGAUGCCCUGGCAGUCAGAGGCGAUGAAGGACGUGCUAAUCUGCGAUAAGCGUCGGUAAGGUGAUAUGAACCGUUAUAACCGGCGAUUUCCGAAUGGGGAAACCCAGUGUGUUUCGACACACUAUCAUUAACUGAAUCCAUAGGUUAAUGAGGCGAACCGGGGGAACUGAAACAUCUAAGUACCCCGAGGAAAAGAAAUCAACCGAGAUUCCCCCAGUAGCGGCGAGCGAACGGGGAGCAGCCCAGAGCCUGAAUCAGUGUGUGUGUUAGUGGAAGCGUCUGGAAAGGCGCGCGAUACAGGGUGACAGCCCCGUACACAAAAAUGCACAUGCUGUGAGCUCGAUGAGUAGGGCGGGACACGUGGUAUCCUGUCUGAAUAUGGGGGGACCAUCCUCCAAGGCUAAAUACUCCUGACUGACCGAUAGUGAACCAGUACCGUGAGGGAAAGGCGAAAAGAACCCCGGCGAGGGGAGUGAAAAAGAACCUGAAACCGUGUACGUACAAGCAGUGGGAGCACGCUUAGGCGUGUGACUGCGUACCUUUUGUAUAAUGGGUCAGCGACUUAUAUUCUGUAGCAAGGUUAACCGAAUAGGGGAGCCGAAGGGAAACCGAGUCUUAACUGGGCGUUAAGUUGCAGGGUAUAGACCCGAAACCCGGUGAUCUAGCCAUGGGCAGGUUGAAGGUUGGGUAACACUAACUGGAGGACCGAACCGACUAAUGUUGAAAAAUUAGCGGAUGACUUGUGGCUGGGGGUGAAAGGCCAAUCAAACCGGGAGAUAGCUGGUUCUCCCCGAAAGCUAUUUAGGUAGCGCCUCGUGAAUUCAUCUCCGGGGGUAGAGCACUGUUUCGGCAAGGGGGUCAUCCCGACUUACCAACCCGAUGCAAACUGCGAAUACCGGAGAAUGUUAUCACGGGAGACACACGGCGGGUGCUAACGUCCGUCGUGAAGAGGGAAACAACCCAGACCGCCAGCUAAGGUCCCAAAGUCAUGGUUAAGUGGGAAACGAUGUGGGAAGGCCCAGACAGCCAGGAUGUUGGCUUAGAAGCAGCCAUCAUUUAAAGAAAGCGUAAUAGCUCACUGGUCGAGUCGGCCUGCGCGGAAGAUGUAACGGGGCUAAACCAUGCACCGAAGCUGCGGCAGCGACGCUUAUGCGUUGUUGGGUAGGGGAGCGUUCUGUAAGCCUGCGAAGGUGUGCUGUGAGGCAUGCUGGAGGUAUCAGAAGUGCGAAUGCUGACAUAAGUAACGAUAAAGCGGGUGAAAAGCCCGCUCGCCGGAAGACCAAGGGUUCCUGUCCAACGUUAAUCGGGGCAGGGUGAGUCGACCCCUAAGGCGAGGCCGAAAGGCGUAGUCGAUGGGAAACAGGUUAAUAUUCCUGUACUUGGUGUUACUGCGAAGGGGGGACGGAGAAGGCUAUGUUGGCCGGGCGACGGUUGUCCCGGUUUAAGCGUGUAGGCUGGUUUUCCAGGCAAAUCCGGAAAAUCAAGGCUGAGGCGUGAUGACGAGGCACUACGGUGCUGAAGCAACAAAUGCCCUGCUUCCAGGAAAAGCCUCUAAGCAUCAGGUAACAUCAAAUCGUACCCCAAACCGACACAGGUGGUCAGGUAGAGAAUACCAAGGCGCUUGAGAGAACUCGGGUGAAGGAACUAGGCAAAAUGGUGCCGUAACUUCGGGAGAAGGCACGCUGAUAUGUAGGUGAAGCGACUUGCUCGUGGAGCUGAAAUCAGUCGAAGAUACCAGCUGGCUGCAACUGUUUAUUAAAAACACAGCACUGUGCAAACACGAAAGUGGACGUAUACGGUGUGACGCCUGCCCGGUGCCGGAAGGUUAAUUGAUGGGGUUAGCGCAAGCGAAGCUCUUGAUCGAAGCCCCGGUAAACGGCGGCCGUAACUAUAACGGUCCUAAGGUAGCGAAAUUCCUUGUCGGGUAAGUUCCGACCUGCACGAAUGGCGUAAUGAUGGCCAGGCUGUCUCCACCCGAGACUCAGUGAAAUUGAACUCGCUGUGAAGAUGCAGUGUACCCGCGGCAAGACGGAAAGACCCCGUGAACCUUUACUAUAGCUUGACACUGAACAUUGAGCCUUGAUGUGUAGGAUAGGUGGGAGGCUUAGAAGUGUGGACGCCAGUCUGCAUGGAGCCGACCUUGAAAUACCACCCUUUAAUGUUUGAUGUUCUAACGUUGACCCGUAAUCCGGGUUGCGGACAGUGUCUGGUGGGUAGUUUGACUGGGGCGGUCUCCUCCUAAAGAGUAACGGAGGAGCACGAAGGUUGGCUAAUCCUGGUCGGACAUCAGGAGGUUAGUGCAAUGGCAUAAGCCAGCUUGACUGCGAGCGUGACGGCGCGAGCAGGUGCGAAAGCAGGUCAUAGUGAUCCGGUGGUUCUGAAUGGAAGGGCCAUCGCUCAACGGAUAAAAGGUACUCCGGGGAUAACAGGCUGAUACCGCCCAAGAGUUCAUAUCGACGGCGGUGUUUGGCACCUCGAUGUCGGCUCAUCACAUCCUGGGGCUGAAGUAGGUCCCAAGGGUAUGGCUGUUCGCCAUUUAAAGUGGUACGCGAGCUGGGUUUAGAACGUCGUGAGACAGUUCGGUCCCUAUCUGCCGUGGGCGCUGGAGAACUGAGGGGGGCUGCUCCUAGUACGAGAGGACCGGAGUGGACGCAUCACUGGUGUUCGGGUUGUCAUGCCAAUGGCACUGCCCGGUAGCUAAAUGCGGAAGAGAUAAGUGCUGAAAGCAUCUAAGCACGAAACUUGCCCCGAGAUGAGUUCUCCCUGAC